UACGGAGGAUCCGAGCGUUAUCCGGAUUUAUUGGGUUUAAAGGGUGCGUAGGCGGCCAUUUAAGUCAGCGGUGAAAUUUUGCAGCUUAACUGUAACAGUGCCGUUGAUGCUGUUUGGCUAGGAUUUGGUUGUAGUGUGCGGAAUGUGUGGUGUAGCGGUGAAAUGCUUAGAUAUCACACAGAACACCGAUUGCGAAGGCAGCACACUAAGUCAUUAUUGACGCUGAGGCACGAAAGUGUGGGGAUCAAACAGGAUUA
RNAcentral lists this ribosomal RNA (257 nucleotides) under uncultured prokaryote. RNAcentral describes it as "partial 16S ribosomal RNA". It matches the Rfam family "Bacterial small subunit ribosomal RNA", at positions 524 to 780 of the family's 1533-position model. The record is from RNAcentral.